AGGACGAACGCUGGCGGCGUGCUUAACACAUGCAAGUCGAGCGGAAAGGCCCUUCGGGGUACUCGAGCGGCGAACGGGUGAGUAACACGUGGGCAACCUGCCCUCAGCUCUGGGACAACUCCGGGAAACCGGGGCUAAUACCGGAUACGACCUCCUUCCGCAUGGUUGGUGGUGGAAAGUUCUUCGGCUGAGGAUGGGCCCGCGGCCUAUCAGCUUGUUGGUGGGGUGAUGGCCUACCAAGGCGACGACGGGUA
RNAcentral lists this ribosomal RNA (254 nucleotides) under uncultured bacterium. RNAcentral describes it as "partial small subunit ribosomal RNA". It matches the Rfam family "Bacterial small subunit ribosomal RNA", at positions 26 to 285 of the family's 1533-position model. The record is from RNAcentral.